This is a non-coding RNA of Cinara cedri, 245 nucleotides long. Lineage: Eukaryota; Metazoa; Arthropoda; Insecta; Hemiptera; Aphididae. The record is from the annotation of a GenBank genome assembly.
CAAAUUUGCGUUACCCCAUCAGUUGUCUAGUGUCCUCGGAAAUAGCUUAACUAACUGGUGGCACGUGUUAUCAUACUAAAUGUUCCGUCUUGUUGUAUAAUAAUAGUCUAUAAAUCCAUUGUCCCGAACACGUAAAUUAACUGAUAUCAGUGAAACGAUGACGGAUAUAAUUUAUUAAAAAUAACCAUUUUUCAUCUCCACGAUAAUGACUUUUUUAUAUCUUCUACGAUAUUUUAAUGUUCGCU